GUUUAGCCUGCAGUCUUUUAGCAUAUAAAGCUUGCGACACACCACAUACUUUGUUUGCGAAGACGUGCCCACAAUACGACUGCGAGUUUCGCCAGGGUCAGACAAGCGAUCGCUCAUGUGUACAUCGCUUGUUUCUAUUCUGGGAACCAGCGAUUGAUGUGAUGCUGUUUAACUAUUAUAACGCGUCGGAAGAGAACAUGAACGUAUAUAUGUGCCGUGCGAUAUUGAAGUAGAUGCUGUAACAAGAGAAAGUUGCCUGCAUUACACCGAAGCUUGGAGCGUGCGGCGUUAAGUACGGGCGGCGGAUAGCAAGUGACGCAACAAAAUGUGCCACCUUAAAGCUUUCUUCCUUGCCGUCGCCGUAUUGUUUGCAACGCACACAGUCACGAAACACGCUGCCGCGGAGGAGAGCGACUUCGUUGACUGGGGAGAAGGAAGCGGCGAUCAGUGUGAUACUUCGCAGAACUGCGAUUCACCAGAAACGUGUUGUGUGAGCACCCACGGCCCUAAACUCUGUCAACCGCUGGCUCAGAUUGGUCAACGUUGCUCACUGGACGAGCGUAGUGGCUCACAUAAAACAUACUGCCCUUGUGCAUCACCGCAUACGUGUGUUCACAAGGGAGAAGGGAUCAGCAUAUGCGUGGCUCCUGGCAAACGAAAAUAAACUUCAACAAAUUUCA
Molecule: long non-coding RNA, 680 nt
Organism: Rhipicephalus microplus (southern cattle tick)
Lineage: Eukaryota; Metazoa; Arthropoda; Arachnida; Ixodida; Ixodidae
Source: RefSeq, a predicted model, not a curated record